Non-coding RNA from Cinara cedri, 495 nucleotides. NCBI's taxonomy places the organism in Eukaryota, Metazoa, Arthropoda, Insecta, Hemiptera, Aphididae. The record is from the annotation of a GenBank genome assembly.
GCGUUUUUCUACAAUAGAUCCUGCGACUAUAUUUAAUUGAUAAUAGGUCAUUUUAUUGAAUCAAACGAGUACAUCACUGAUACCUACGACUGCAAAAUAAACAUAAUUUUUUUUUUUUUUUUCGUGCUAGAUCGAUAUCUUCAACACCGGUAGCCGGUGUAGGUAUAGGUAUUUAUAUUUUCGUAUUGAAAUUACUAAUAUUCAACCGGAUCACUAGCGCCAAAACGAAAUAUUAUUUCUAUGUUUUAUACAAACACGCAUCGCACGGCAACAUCGUACGCCGAUUUAAUGGGUACCUAUAGGCUACAGCCGGUACUAUGUAGGCAGGUAAUAUUAUAACAAUACGAUAGUUAAACAUAUUUUCAAGACAUUCGUGUAAGUUAUAAACAAUAACAUUGUAUUAUUGUGGUUUUGCCGCAAAACGUAUCGUCAUUACGAAAUAAAUAAAUAAUUAAAAUUAAAAACGAAACGAUUAUUAUAGGUAUAGAUACUAAC